Long non-coding RNA from Hemibagrus wyckioides, 1033 nucleotides. RefSeq lists it as uncharacterized. The transcript has 3 exons. Lineage: Eukaryota; Metazoa; Chordata; Actinopteri; Siluriformes; Bagridae. The record is from RefSeq and is a predicted model, not a curated record.
ACUCUUUUGGCAGGAAACUGAUUUCCAAAUGUUACAAUAGAAGGAAGUGAGUUCAAACUCUCUAAAAACAAAUGAGUUGAAAACAACACAGCGUGCCAUUUCCUAUAGAUCUCUUUCCUAUCCAUCUCUUCUGGGCUUUGGAACUCUUCAGCUAUUGAAUCAGGAUGUUUUACACACUAUGCGCCUCAGUGACCCUGCUCCGUGACUUUACAUGGUCUUCUGCUUUGUGGCUGAAUUGCUGCUGUUUCCAAUUGGACCACUGACAGAUGAAUGUGAAAUAUCUAGCAGGGAUGAAAGUUCAUGAACUGACUUAUUGUUUAUUAAAGGUGGCAUCCUAUCACACUAUCAUGUUUGAUUUCACAGAGCUCUUUAGAAUAACCCAUAUUUUUAUAUUUUUUUAUUGUUUGUAAAUACAGACUACAUGGCUAGGUGUUUGAUUUUAUACAAUAUUGUUUCACAUGCCAAUGUUUAUCGUCACAAAAAAAUGUUUUUUCGUAAUGGAGUUUGGAUCAAAGAUGCUACAACCCAAGACAAUUCAAGAUUGGAAAAAAAAUAUUGUGUUAGAAGAUGUGCAUAUGAUGAAAGCCUUGAUCCAUCAGAAGUGGAAAAUGCAGUCUGGGAUGUCCACUUAGAGAACUUUAGCAGCCUAGAAGAAGGAAAUCUGUGCAUGCCUGAGGAAGACAUGCAUUUCAAUGAAAUUCCAGACUCACCGGAAGGACUGCUUAAUUUAACAUCAGUUUCUGAUGACAGCAAUGAGCUCAGGCUUUUCCUGGAGCCCAGUGAAACAGAGUCUUCAGAUGAUGACAGUGACAGUGAAGAGGCAGUCUUUACAGAUGAGCAGAACCAUGAAGAUUCGGAUUUGGCAGAAGAUGAUAACACUGAAGCAGAUAAAACCAAUGGUGAUGGCGCCAGGCAGUUACUUGUAAAGCUCCUAGCAUUCAUGCUCUCACACAUACAUAUAUGUGCACAAAUACUGUAUAAACUGUAUGCAUAUUCAGUACACAUGUACACUAUAUACAGAAGGCUGGGGAAU